GAUGAACCCUGGCGGCGUGCCUAAUACAUGCAAGUCGAGCGAACAGACGAGGAGCUUGCUCCUCUGACGUUAGCGGCGGACGGGUGAGUAACACGUGGAUAACCUACCUAUAAGACUGGGAUAACUUCGGGAAACCGGAGCUAAUACCGGAUAACAUGUUGAACCGCAUGGUUCAACAGUGAAAGACGGUCUUGCUGUCACUUAUAGAUGGAUCCGCGCCGCAUUAGCUAGUUGGUAAGGUAACGGCUUACCAAGGCAACGAUGCGUAGCCGACCUGAGAGGGUGAUCGGCCACACUGGAACUGAGACACGGUCCAGACUCCUACGGGAGGCAGCAGUAGGGAAUCUUCCGCAAUGGGCGAAAGCCUGACGGAGCAACGCCGCGUGAGUGAUGAAGGUCUUCGGAUCGUAAAACUCUGUUAUUAGGGAAGAACAAAUGUGUAAGUAACUAUGCACGUCUUGACGGUACCUAAUCAGAAAGCCACGGCUAACUACGUG
This 497-nucleotide ribosomal RNA is filed under the name uncultured bacterium. RNAcentral describes it as "partial 16S ribosomal RNA". It matches the Rfam family "Bacterial small subunit ribosomal RNA", at positions 28 to 507 of the family's 1533-position model. The record is from RNAcentral.